GACGAACGCUGGCGGCGUGCUUAACACAUGCGAGUCGAACGGAAAGGCCCUGCUUUUGUGGGGUGCUCGAGUGGCGAACGGGUGAGUAACACGUGAGUAACCUGCCCUUGACUUUGGGAUAACUUCAGGAAACUGGGGCUAAUACCGGAUAGGAGCUCCUGCUGCAUGGUGGGGGUUGGAAAGUUUCGGCGGUUGGGGAUGGACUCGCGGCUUAUCAGCUUGUUGGUGGGGUAGUGGCUUACCAAGGCUUUGACGGGUAGCCGGCCUGAGAGGGUGACCGGCCAAAUUGGGACUGAGAUACGGCCCAGACUCCUACGGGAGGCAGCAGUGGGGAAUAUUGCACAAUGGGCGGAAGCCGGAUGCAGCAACGCCGCGUGCGGGAUGACGGCCUUCGGGUUGUAAACCGCUUUCGCCUGUGACGAAGCGUGAGGGACGGUAAUGGGUAAAGAAGCACCGGCUAACUACGU
RNAcentral lists this ribosomal RNA (467 nucleotides) under uncultured bacterium. Its description in RNAcentral is "partial 16S ribosomal RNA". It matches the Rfam family "Bacterial small subunit ribosomal RNA", at positions 28 to 506 of the family's 1533-position model. The record is from RNAcentral.